AUGGAUCACUAUUUUACCUUAUAUACAGGUCCAAAUCCACCUUCACCUAGCUUGCUUUCACAUGCGAAGUUAUCUGUGGCUGUUUUAAUCUCAUUGAAAGUGAGAUCUUGGAGAUUAGGAUACACAACUCUUUUCCCUGAAGUGGUUUCUCUUCUGACUGUUUGAAAUUAAAAUGGAAAACCUAAAAGUUAAAACUUUAGUUUUGUUGUAAAACAGAAUACUGGCAAAAAUUUGGAUGCUACCUCUUGGCAUGAUUAUUUUCCUCUUCAAGCAACAUAUUGCUGUUCCAGAUAGGAGAAUAGCUACAAACACUGUUGGCAAUACAAUAACCAGCAAUGAUUGUUUACUUUUUUGAUCUUCCUCUUCUCCUCCAGCUGCGAAUGCAGUCCUCAGAAUUAACAAUAUGUCUCAAAUCAUGUUUUGACAAGGCUUUAAAGUGUGAAUUACCUGUGACUCUACUUGUUUACUUAAAAAUGUAUUAUUAAUUUUUUUAAUAAUUUAGAAAACACUCUUUAAAGUAAAUUUGACCUAUGCGGAAGGAAUUCAUGCUUUAUCACACAUGUUUCUUUUUCAUAUUUUAACAUUGCAAUAACGGUUUACAUGUUUUUUGAAUUCAAUAGUGAUCCACAUAAGUUUAUUAUUUUCUCAGUUGUGAUACAGUUCAAAUCCAGCUGAAAUUAUUGACUUGUGUCAGCUAGAUUCAAGCUUAUCACUUUAGUAUGUUUUGAAGUCACUUGUUUAACUUACAUCUAACUUUUCCUGCAUAGCUGUCGGGAAGAAAUAAAAAAUAAUAAAAAAAUAAUAAAAUAUAUAUAUUGAAAGAGGGCAUAACCAUUCGGUUUAUUCAGAUUGUACGGUUGUGCUGACCUGCUCUAGAGAGAACCCAAUUUUCGUCAUCGUUGGGAACUUGAAACACACUGUAACCAAGAAGCCCGUUCUUCUUGGCAUAAGAAACUUUUAUCUUGACAACCUCUAUAUCGUCAAAACCAAUCCAGGAUGAUCCUAUUUUCAUGUAGUUCGUCACAUAUGUGGAGUUGAACAGUGGUUUGACACCAUAGCUUUUACAGAACCACAUGAUGUAUCUAUAGCUCAUUGAUCCAUCUGCAGUUAUGGCCAGGCCUUUUGCCGGAGAACCUAUUGUGUUGUCAUCAGGGUUUACAAGUGUCCAGGCAUAACCAUGGUAUGGCAAUCCCAGGACCAGUUUGUUGGCUGGUAAUCCUCUCUUAAUCCAUUCCUUUAUUCCAUAGUCCGUGUUUAGAUGGCUUGAUGGAUCAUAUAAUGCAGCAUGCGCUCCUGUGAAAUUAUCCUUUGAUGGCAGAUAAUAGUCAUAAGACAUGAGGUGCACCCAAUCGACAUUUCUUUUGAUGGAAUCUAUUGGGUAAGUCAUGAAGUUUUGUGUUGGUGAAUAUCGAGCUCCCAUGGUCAAGAACAGCGGUGAAGUGUUCGAAUUUUUUGGUUCAGAAUUUACUGCUUCUCGCCACUCAUCUAGAAAAGCUCCCAUAUUGGUCGUGUUGAUUGGCGUAUUUGGAAGAACACCGAAUAGAUCAAGACCUAGAAAUCCA
RNAcentral lists this long non-coding RNA (1562 nucleotides) under Olea europaea (common olive). RNAcentral describes it as "long non-coding RNA (OEUR_LNC014406)". The record is from RNAcentral. Lineage: Eukaryota; Viridiplantae; Streptophyta; Magnoliopsida; Lamiales; Oleaceae.